CAUGUAUUCUACAGUCUGUGACCAACAAUGUGAGAGAGGUCACAAUUGUUUCUCUGGGACACAUUCUCCAGGAAUUCUGAAAUAGAAGAGGUUGUGAUGGGAAAGAAGGGAAGAAAAAUAAAGAAUUUCAAAAACAUGGUUCGAUCUCAACCAGCCACAGAGACCACUGAUGAAUCAGUCCCUGGAUGGUGCAGGCAACCUCAACAUUACCCACCUCCUACCCGGCUUCUAUCAGCCUUCCUGAGAGUGGUAUUAUUUAGAAAUUCUCUUUUAUGACAUGCAAUACCUCUCUUCUUCUAGGUCCUAUAUUAUAGCCUUGAAUCAAAUCAAACUGUCAAAUGAGAUGUCUAUCAACAAAAUCUGCAAGAAAUAGUCAUAGAAAAUUUACUAUUUAACUUCCUAUUAAAAAAUCAGUGGGCUCAUU
Molecule: long non-coding RNA, 424 nt
Filed under: Homo sapiens (human)
Lineage: Eukaryota; Metazoa; Chordata; Mammalia; Primates; Hominidae
Description: HSALNT0364797
Source: RNAcentral